AAACCAACAGGGAUUGCCCUAGUAACGGCGAGUGAAGCGGCAACAGCUCAAAUUUGAAAUCUGGCUCGGCCCGAGUUGUAAUUUGCAGAGGAUGCUUCUGGCGCGGUGCCUUCCGAGUUCCCUGGAACGGGACGCCACAGAGGGUGAGAGCCCCGUAUGGUCGGACACCAAGCCUGUGUGAAGCUCCUUCGACGAGUCGAGUAGUUUGGGAAUGCUGCUCUAAAUGGGAGGUAAAUCUCUUCUAAAGCUAAAUACCGGCCAGAGACCGAUAGCGCACAAGUAGAGUGAUCGAAAGAUGAAAAGCACCUUGAAAAGGGGGUUAAAUAGUACGUGAAAUUGUUGAAAGGGAAGCACUUAUGACCAGACUUGGGCCGGGCGGCUCAUCAGGGGUUCUCCCCUGUGCACUCCGCCCGGCACAGGCCAGCAUCGGUUCUCGUGGGGGGAUAAGACCGUCAGGAACGUAGCACCCUCCGGGGUGUGUUAUAGCCUGGCGGACGAUACCCCCGUGGGGACCGAGGUCCGCGCUCCGCAAGGAUGCUGGCGUAAUGGUCAUCAGUGAC
Molecule: ribosomal RNA, 560 nt
Filed under: Phomopsis sp. OTU4 TS-2013
Lineage: Eukaryota; Fungi; Ascomycota; Sordariomycetes; Diaporthales; Diaporthaceae
Description: eukaryotic LSU rRNA
Rfam family: Eukaryotic large subunit ribosomal RNA
Source: RNAcentral